This 497-nucleotide ribosomal RNA is filed under the name uncultured bacterium. Its description in RNAcentral is "partial 16S ribosomal RNA". It matches the Rfam family "Bacterial small subunit ribosomal RNA", at positions 28 to 507 of the family's 1533-position model. The record is from RNAcentral.
GAUGAACGCUGGCGGCGUGCCUAAUACAUGCAAGUCGAGCGAACAGACGAGGAGCUUGCUUCUCUGACGUUAGCGGCGGACGGGUGAGUAACACGUGGAUAACCUACCUAUAAGACUGGGAUAACUUCGGGAAACCGGAGCUAAUACCGGAUAAUAUAUUUAACCGCAUGGUUCAAUAGUGAAAGACGGUUUUGCUGUCACUUAUAGAUGGAUCCGCGCCGCAUUAGCUAGUUGGUAAGGUAACGGCUUACCAAGGCAACGAUGCGUAGCCGACCUGAUAGGGGGAUCGGCCAAACUGGAACUGAGACACGGUCCAGACUCCUACGGGAGGCAGCAGUAGGGAAUCUUCCGCAAUGAGCGAAAGCCUGCCGGAGCAACGCCGCGUGAGUGAUGAAGGUCUUCGGAUCGUAAAACUCUGUUAUUAGGGAAGAACAAAUGUGUAAGUAACUAUGCACGUCUUGACGGUACCUAAUCAGAAAGCCACGGCUAACUACGUG